UCAAGCUACAAAGGGCAUAAGGUGGAUGCCUUGGCAUCAGGAGCCGAAGAAGGACGUGGCAAGCUGCGAUAAGCCACGGGGAGCUGCAAGCGAGCGUCGAUCCGUGGAUUUCCGAAUGGGGGAACCCCCGUGACGAAGAGUCACGGAGCGCUAGGUGAAUACAUAGCCUAGUGCGGGGAACCCGGGGAACUGAAACAUCUAAGUACCCGGAGGAAGAGAAAUCAACCGAGAUUCCGCGAGUAGUGGCGAGCGAAAGCGGAAGAGGCCAAACCGCACGUAGCGAUACGUGCGGGGUUUAGGACCGGCGAAUAGGCACACUAAGCGAUAGCUGAACGGGAUGGGAAGCCCGGCCAGAGAUGGUGACAGCCCAGUAGGCGAAAUUGCGAGGUGGCCUGCCGUGAUCCAGAGUACCUGCGGACACGAGGAAUCUGCAGGGAAGAAGGGGGGACCACCCUCCAAGCCUAAAUACUACCUGAUGACCGAUAGUGGAGCAGUACCGUGAGGGAAAGGUGAAAAGAACCCCGGGAGGGGAGUGAAAUAGAACCUGAAACCGUGUGCCUACAACCGGUCAGAGCACUAUGUUUUAUACAGUGUGAUGACGUGCUUUUUGUAGAACGAUCCAGCGAGUUACGGUAUGCAGCAAGGUUAAGCACUUAAGGUGUGGAGCCGAAGGGAAACCGAGUCUGAAUAGGGCGGGAAGUUGCAUGCUGUAGACCCGAAACCGGGUGACCUAUCCAUGGACAGGGUGAAGCGGAAGUAAAAUUCCGUGGAGGCCCGAACCACGUUGGUGUUGAAAAACCAUGGGAUGAGCUGUGGAUAGCGGAGAAAUUCCAAUCGAACUCGGAGAUAGCUGGUUCUCCUCGAAAUAGCUUUAGGGCUAGCGUCGGACUAAUGAGUAAUGGAGGUAGAGCACUGAAUGGGCUAGGGGGCAUUGCGCUUACUGAACCCUAUCAAACUCCGAAUGCCAUAUACUUGUACUCCGGCAGUCAGACUACGAGUGAUAAGAUCCGUAGUCAAAAGGGAAACAGCCCAGAUCGUCAGCUAAGGUCCCAAAGUGUAAGUUAAGUGGAAAAGGAUGUGGGAUUUCUAAGACAACUAGGAUGUUGGCUUAGAAGCAGCCACUCAUUUAAAGAGUGCGUAAUAGCUCACUAGUCGAGAGAUCCUGCGCCGAAGAUGUCCGGGGCUCAAACUUACCACCGAAGCUACGGGUUGACGCUAACGCGUCAGCGGUAGAGGAGCAUCCUGUACGGGCUGAAGUCAUACCGAAAGGAGUGGUGGACUGUACAGGAGAGAGAAUGCUGGAAUAAGUAGCGAGAAAAGAGUGAGAAUCUCUUUGGUCGAAAACCUAAGGUUUCCUGGGGAAGGCUCGUCCGCCCAGGGUUAGUCGGGACCUAAGCUGAGGCCGAAAGGCGUAGGCGAUGGACAAUCGGUUGAUAUUCCGAUACCACUACAACGCGUUAAUACCGAUGGGGUGACGCAGGAGGAUAAGAUGUGCUCACUAAUGGAUGUGGGUCUAAGUACUUAGGCAGAGCAGAUAGGCAAAUCCGUUUGCUCAAUGCUGAGGUGCGAUGGGGAGCGAAAUUAAGUAGCGAAGUAUCUGAUUCCACGCUGCCAAGAAAAGCCUCUAGGGAGUGAAGUAGUGCCCGUACCGCAAACCGACACAGGUAGGUGAGGAGAGAAUCCUAAGACCAGCGGAAGAAUUGCAGUUAAGGAACUCGGCAAAUUGACCCCGUAACUUCGGGAGAAGGGGUGCCUACGAGAGUAGGCCGCAGAGAAUAGGCCCAAGCAACUGUUUAGCAAAAACACAGGUCUCUGCUAAAGCGAAAGCUGAUGUAUAGGGGCUGACGCCUGCCCGGUGCUGGAAGGUUAAGGGGAACGCUUAGCGCAAGCGAAGGCGUGAACUUAAGCCCCAGUAAACGGCGGCCGUAACUAUAACGGUCCUAAGGUAGCGAAAUUCCUUGUCAGGUAAGUUCUGACCCGCACGAAUGGCGUAAUGAUCUGGGCACUGUCUCAACAGCCCGCCCGGCGAAAUUGUAGUACCGGUGAAGAUGCCGGUUACCCGCGACUAGACGGAAAGACCCCAUGGAGCUUUAC
This 2094-nucleotide ribosomal RNA is filed under the name activated sludge metagenome. Its description in RNAcentral is "bacterial LSU rRNA". It matches the Rfam family "Bacterial large subunit ribosomal RNA", at positions 3 to 2104 of the family's 2925-position model. The record is from RNAcentral.